This 253-nucleotide ribosomal RNA is filed under the name uncultured bacterium. Its description in RNAcentral is "partial 16S ribosomal RNA". It matches the Rfam family "Bacterial small subunit ribosomal RNA", at positions 524 to 776 of the family's 1533-position model. The record is from RNAcentral.
UACGUAGGUGGCAAGCGUUGUCCGGAAUCACUGGGCGUAAAGCGCGCGCAGGCGGCGAUCUACGUCUGGGGUGAAAGCCCGGAGCUCAACUCCGGGACUGCCUUGGAUACGGGAUCGCUUGAGGAUUGGAGAGGCAAGGGGAAUUCCACGUGUAGCGGUGAAAUGCGUAGAGAUGUGGAGGAACACCUGUGGCGAAGGCGGCUUUCUGGUCUGUAACUGACGCUGAGGCGCGAAAGCGUGGGGAGCAAACAGG